CCUACGGGAGGCAGCAGUGGGGAAUAUUGGACAAUGGGGGAAACCCUGAUCCAGCCAUCCCGCGUGUGUGAAGAAGGUCUUCGGAUUGUAAAGCACUUUAAGUUGGGAGGAAGGGCAUUAACCUAAUACGUUAGUGUUUUGACGUUACCGACAGAAUAAGCACCGGCUAACUACGUGCCAGCAGCCGCGGUAAU
Molecule: ribosomal RNA, 194 nt
Filed under: uncultured bacterium
Lineage: Bacteria
Description: partial 16S ribosomal RNA
Rfam family: Bacterial small subunit ribosomal RNA
Source: RNAcentral